UACAGAGGUCUCAAGCGUUGCUCGGAUUCAUUGGGCGUAAAGGGUGCGUAGGUGGCGGGGUAAGUCAGGUGUGAAAUCUCGAGGCUCAACCUCGAAACUGCACUUGAUACUGCCUUGCUCGAGUACUGGAGAGGAGAUUGGAAUUUACGGUGUAGCAGUGAAAUGCGUAGAUAUCGUAAGGAAGACCAGUGGCGAAGGCGAAUCUCUGGACAGUUACUGACACUGAGGCACGAAGGCCAGGGGAGCAAACAGG
This 253-nucleotide ribosomal RNA is filed under the name uncultured bacterium. Its description in RNAcentral is "partial 16S ribosomal RNA". It matches the Rfam family "Bacterial small subunit ribosomal RNA", at positions 524 to 776 of the family's 1533-position model. The record is from RNAcentral.